UGGCGUCAUAAGAACAAUAUUUUAGCGAAAAAAAGUCAUUCACGAAAUGAAAAAACGGAAGAGUAAAUCAUAAAAACUGCAGCAUGUAAAAACAGAAACGGAAGAAUGAAACAAAAAAGAAAUAAUAAUUGAAAGAAAUCUUGCAAGUGAAUAAGUGUGAAAUUCUAAAAUGCAAAAGAGCGAGAGAGAAAGAUGAAAAAAAAUAAAUAUUUAAUCAGCUCCUGGAGAGCAUGGCAAAACAAACAAGCAAAAAUGCAAGGAUUAACAAAACGAAGUUCAAUUACAUGAGGUGAACAACCUGCGGAAAACACAACGACAACAACAACAUAUUCAAGAGAAGGAUAAACGUAAAC
This is a long non-coding RNA of Drosophila willistoni, 353 nucleotides long. RefSeq lists it as uncharacterized. The transcript has 3 exons. The record is from RefSeq and is a predicted model, not a curated record. NCBI's taxonomy places the organism in Eukaryota, Metazoa, Arthropoda, Insecta, Diptera, Drosophilidae.